RNAcentral lists this ribosomal RNA (497 nucleotides) under uncultured bacterium. RNAcentral's name for it is "partial 16S ribosomal RNA". It matches the Rfam family "Bacterial small subunit ribosomal RNA", at positions 28 to 507 of the family's 1533-position model. The record is from RNAcentral.
GACGAACGCUGGCGGCGUGCCUAAUACAUGCCAGUUGAGCGAUGAAGCUUGGUGCUUGCGCCAAUUUGAAGAGCAGCGAACGGGUGAGUAACGCGUGGGGAAUCUGCCUUUGAGCGGGGGACAACAUUUGGAAACGAAUGCUAAUACCGCAUAACCACUUUAAACAUAAGUUUUAAGUUUGAAAGAUGCAAUUGCAUCACUCAAUGAUGAUCCCGCGUUGUAUUAGCUAGUUGGUGAGGUAAAGGCGCCCCAAGGCGAUGAUACAUAGCAGACCGGAGAGGGUGGGCAGCCGCAUUGGGACUGAGACACGGCCCAAUCUCCUACAGGAAGCGGCAAGAGGGAAACUUCGGGAAGGGGCGGAAGUCUGACCGCACAACGCCGAAGGAUGAUAGAAGGGUGUCGGGUCCGAAAACUCGGUUGGUAGGGAAGAACGUUAUUGCGAGUGGAAAGCACAUCAAGUGACGGUAACGACUCAGAAAGCAACGGCUAACUACGUG